Molecule: ribosomal RNA, 468 nt
Filed under: uncultured bacterium
Lineage: Bacteria
Description: bacterial SSU rRNA
Rfam family: Bacterial small subunit ribosomal RNA
Source: RNAcentral
AACGAACGCUGGCGGCAGGCCUAACACAUGCAAGUCGAACGAGUAAGAGCCGUAGCAAUACGGAGUUCUGCUAGUGGCGCACGGGUGAGUAACGCGUGGGAACGUGCCUUGGAGUUCGGGAUAACAGUUGGAAACGACUGCUAAUACCGAAUAUUCCCUCAGGGGGAAAGAUUUAUCGCUCCAAGAUCGGCCCGCGUAAGAUUAGGUAGUUGGUGGGGUAAUGGCCUACCAAGCCUACGAUCUUUAGCUGGUCUGAGAGGACGACCAGCCACACUGGAACUGAGACACGGCCCAGACUCCUACGGGAGGCAGCAGUGGGGAAUAUUGGACAAUGGGCGAAAGCCUGAUCCAGCCAUGCCGCGUGAAUGAUGAAGGCCUUAGGGUUGUAAAAUUCUUUUGCAGGGGAAGAUAAUGACGGUACCUGCGAAUAAGCUCCGGACUAACUUCCGUGCCAGCAGCCGCGGUAAU